GAUCAUGUGUGCAUACAUGUGCUGACAUUCGUAUGCAUAUGAUAAAAUUGCAACAUUGUGUGAUGCUGAGUGAAUUGCUUUAUCUCUCGGAUUCUUCUCUCAUUUGUUAAAUGAUACUAAUAACAGGACUUACUUCUGGUUUUACAGUAGCUACUCUGUGAAAUAACCCAAAUGAAAAUGCUCAUCCUAGUGUUUGGUAUGCUGGAUGUAUAUGAGGCAGUUUUCUUCCUUCCUUCCCGCUUUCUCUCCUUCCCUUCCUUUCCCCCGUCUCCCUCCUUCCUUCUCCUCUUCUGCCUUUAUAAAAUGAGCUAACUGAAUAUGUCUUGCUUCUUUUAACUUUAGGAUUCAGGGAUGUUUUCUUUUUCAACUGGGGACUCUGCUUUGCUUAUCGUGCUUAUUAAAUCAGUUGGUUAUCAAAUCAGUCAAUGAGACCUGUGCUGCAUAAUGGGAGUGUAAAGAACACGAAGACACUGUUUCUGCCCGCAUAGACCUAACAAUCUAGAUCAGCAGUUCUUAACUGGGGGCAAUUUUGCUCCCCACCCCUAUUUGGGGAUAUUUAACAAUAGCUGGAGACAUUUUUGGUUGUCACAACUUGCAGGAGGCAGGUGGGCAAGGAUGUGCUAAGCUCCUGAAAUGCACAGGACAGUCCCCUAUCACCCACCCAAGCCAGGAGUGAGUCUUCCCAAGAUGUCAAUUGUGCUGAGAUUAGGAAACUGUAGUCUAAUGGAGAAGACAAAUGAAAAGCCCAGCAAUUA
Molecule: non-coding RNA, 755 nt
Organism: Macaca mulatta (Rhesus monkey)
Lineage: Eukaryota; Metazoa; Chordata; Mammalia; Primates; Cercopithecidae
Source: RefSeq, a predicted model, not a curated record